AAAACCUCAGUCUCUGAUUUAUCAUUGAUUGGUCCUGCAUCGGAUGCCUUGUGCAUCCCCUGCGAAAUCCAAUGGCGAAGAGCCACGCAGCCAAAGCGUAGUAUUAAUUUCUCGUGAUGGAUGUGUGAGCGCUUCUGCCGCAACCCCCAUAUCUUAGU
RNAcentral lists this unclassified non-coding RNA (158 nucleotides) under uncultured Cephaliophora. Its description in RNAcentral is "partial internal transcribed spacer 2". Lineage: Eukaryota; Fungi; Ascomycota. The record is from RNAcentral.